This 87-nucleotide transfer RNA is filed under the name Candidatus Brocadiales bacterium. RNAcentral describes it as "tRNA-Leu". It matches the Rfam family "tRNA". From Rfam's summary of the family: Transfer RNA (tRNA) molecules are approximately 80 nucleotides in length. Their secondary structure includes four short double-helical elements and three loops (D, anti-codon, and T loops). Lineage: Bacteria; Pseudomonadati; Planctomycetota; Candidatus Brocadiia; Candidatus Brocadiales. RNAcentral also lists the same sequence under 1 other name. The record is from RNAcentral.
GCCGAAGUGGCGGAAUUGGCAGACGCGCUAGGUUCAGGACCUAGUGGGCGCAAGCCCAUCAGGGUUCGACUCCCUGCUUCGGCACCA